Long non-coding RNA from Syzygium oleosum, 812 nucleotides. RefSeq lists it as uncharacterized. NCBI's taxonomy places the organism in Eukaryota, Viridiplantae, Streptophyta, Magnoliopsida, Myrtales, Myrtaceae. The record is from RefSeq and is a predicted model, not a curated record. The transcript is spliced from 2 exons.
UCGUCACAUCGCCUGAUUUCUAAGUAGCGAUUGUCCAUAGAGAAAGAACAAUUGGUUAGGAUCCGGUUUGUUCUGGAUAGGUGCCUGGACGUGCUAAUGCUGCCGAUGUCCUGAUUCUGUGUUGGUUGUUUGUCUUUGGCAUGAUGCUCUCUCUUCGUGGUCCUUUAGAAUUUACUGUUGUUGAAAUGAUGUUGGGAGUUUAUUGUAGAUUGCUAAAAUUCACUAAAGUUUACUUGAAUUGGCUGUAAUUUGUUCAAAAUUGUUGAAACUCACUAGAAAAUACUUGAGUCUUGUUGAAAUAAACUUGGUGAUGUUCUUGCAGGAUAUAGAUGAUUGUGCAAAUGUGUUUCGUUCAUCGAAGCAUUGGCAAUUGGAAUGUCAGACUGUCUUUGUUGAAGCAAACCGCUAAAGGAAGUGAUUGUGCAUGUCUCUUUUAUCAGUGGAGAGCCAGGAACUCCAAGCUGCAUUGAGUCUCUUCCUCUUGUUGAUGCUGUGAUUCAAAUUGUGAGAUUCACAGUCAAACACUACUUCGAAGAAUGUAGGGACUUUUGAAGUAGGAUCAUCUCUGUGUUGCAAUGGAGAUUACCUGCUGCGGAGAAGUGGUUCAGUGGAGGAGAGCAACCUUAUAUUUAUGGACCUCUAGAUCAGUAGUGUCCAUUAUGCAGGAGCUUUUAGAUUUUAAAGGGUGUAUAUACAUUGGAUUUGUAAUGUUCUGGUAUAUUUUGAUCAUAGAAGUUGAACCUUCUGUUUCUUGGCCCUUGAUGUAAUCAGUUCAUGUUAAUUAAUAUAAAGUCUCUUUGCUACAAAACAAA